Molecule: long non-coding RNA, 1615 nt
Filed under: Homo sapiens (human)
Lineage: Eukaryota; Metazoa; Chordata; Mammalia; Primates; Hominidae
Description: HSALNT0305875
Source: RNAcentral
UACUUCUUCCUAUUUGGUGAUUUUUUGAUGCAUUAAAAAGAGAAAAUUGUAUAAACCUAAUGACUGUUGACAAGUGUUCAGAGAGAGAAAAAAGAUCGAUAAUUAGCACAAUGGAAGGACUUCCAAAUCCACACUCUUUUGACGUUUUCUCACCUAAAAAGUAUUUAUUGCCGUUUUACUGGUUGAUUGGUUGUCAUUUUUCUUUCAGUUGUGUUUCUAUGCAGAAAUUGCAUGGAACUGAACAGCAAUUGCAUUACAAUUGAAAUUGUUUCUAAUAUUAUUCACUAAUGGGCAAAUCCAUUACUUUAGGUCCAUUUCAUAUACAAGGAAAUGCAGUUACUCCGAGGACAAUUCAGCUAGCCAAGAGUCCCUGUACAGUGAGCAAUCUUUUGGGUCUUCUCAUCACUGAAGAAUUUCUAUGUGGACACUAAAGUAAUAUUAAAACCACUCACUCUCACUGGUAAUUUACAGAAUACAGUUUUAAUAAACAGCAAUAUUGACAACAAUAGCAAUGAUGAAACCUCUGAGGUGAGAGAGAAUGUUAAUUUUAGCAAAGAGUGUCUUGUCAUCUGGACAAGGCUUACCAGUUCCUAGCCUCUAGUUUGUAUACAUUUAUGCAAUCAUUUUGAAUAUUUACUCCCUGUAUGCUGGUAGAAACAUCAGUGUCAGGACAUUACAUGUGAAGGAAUAAUUCAACAUUUAAGUUUUUAAGAGUAUAUUUUUUUCAGAUCUUGUUCCCCAAAGUUAAACAUUGUGGUAGAUUGAGACAUUCAUUAUUAAAUAUCUUACAGAAAACAAAGGAAAUCGUAACAUCUUAUUUACCAUCAUUAAGAGAAACCUGAAGGCCAAUUACUCAUUGAAUGGCAGGCAACACAAUUACAUUAUUGUAUAGAAUCCUCAGGACUGUAUUAAAAAAUUAUGAGAAGGAGUUUACACAGGUCAGCCUAUAAAACUACUCUAUAAUUUCUAUCUGUAAAUUGAAAUAGAAAAGAAAUAAGAUUGAAUUAAAUAUGAUAAUAGUAAAUUUCAUGUCUAAGUGUGCUAAACUAGCUGGCCUUUCCUAUUCUUGAAUAAAAUUAUUCUGGUUGCCAUAAUGCAUCCCGAAGCUUACCUAGAUGAGGAGAAAUUCGAAGUAUUCCAACGUCUGCCCUCAUGAAUAGAUCAAGCCUUGGGGGAAACCAGUGAUCUCUUGGCAACAGGACCAGAAGGUGGCAAGAAGAAAAGUUUAAGAAUUUCAAGUGGCUUGAUUGGACUCUUCUUCAUGGUCGCUGAGUCAAGGACCUUCUCUUCUAGUGAAUUUAAGGGUUUUGUGGAACACUAGUCUUUCUUUAUGAACUCUGUCCUCUUUCUCAUACAAUUUAUCUUUUCCACAUAUGGAUGGAAUAAAACUGCAGAAAAUAUAAUGAAAUGGAUAACCAUAUAUUUUUUAAAAUAGAAAUUUUUGAGUACUGACAUUCAAGGUUUUAAUUCUAGAUUUAAAAAUACAUUUUAUUUACACACUCAUCAGUUAAUGGAUGCUUGAAUUAUUUUCACUUUCAGUCUAUUAUGAAUAAUGCUGCUAUGAACGUUAAUGUAUAAGUAUUUGUGUGAACAAAUAGAACAGACAUGGUCAGUU